GACGAACGCUGGCGGCGUGCCUAAUACAUGCAAGUUGAGCGCUGAAGGUUGGUACUUGUACCAACUGGAUGAGCAGCGAACGGGUGAGUAACGCGUGGGAAAUCUGCCUUUGAGCGGGGGACAACAUUUGGAAACGAAUGCUAAUACCGCAUAAAAACUUUAAACACAAGUUUUAAGUUUGAAAGAUGCAAUUGCAUCACUCAAAGAUGAUCCCGCGUUGUAUUAGCUAGUUGGUGAGGUAAAGGCUCACCAAGGCGAUGAUACAUAGCCGACCUGAGAGGGUGAUCGGCCACAUUGGGACUGAGACACGGCCCAAACUCCUACGGGAGGCAGCAGUAGGGAAUCUUCGGCAAUAGACGAAAGUCUGACCGAGCAACGCCGCGUGAGUGAAGAAGGUUUUCGGAUCGUAAAACUCUGUUGGUAGAGAAGAACGUUGGUGAGAGUGGAAAGCUCAUCAAGUGACGGUAACUACCCAGAAAGGGACGGCUAACUACGUG
This 497-nucleotide ribosomal RNA is filed under the name uncultured bacterium. RNAcentral's name for it is "partial 16S ribosomal RNA". It matches the Rfam family "Bacterial small subunit ribosomal RNA", at positions 28 to 507 of the family's 1533-position model. The record is from RNAcentral.